GACGAACGCUGGCGGCGUGCCUAAUACAUGCAAGUAGAACGCACAGUUUAUACCGUAGCUUGCUCCACCAUAAACUGUGAGUUGCGAACGGGUGAGUAACGCGUAGGUAACCUGCCUGGUAGCGGGGGAUAACUAUUGGAAACGCUAGCUAAUACCGCAUCAUAUUAAUUAUUGCAUGAUAAUUGAUUGAAAGAUGCAAUUGCAUCACUACCAGCUGGACCUGCGUUGUAUUAGCUAGUAGGUGAGGUAACGGCUCACCUAGGCGACGAUACAUAGCCGACCUGAGGGGGUGAUCGGCCACACUGGGACUGAGACACGGCCCAGACUCCUACGGGAGGCAGCAGUAGGGAAACGUCGGCAAUGGACGAAAGUCUGACCGAGCAACGCCGCGUGAGGGAAGAAGGGUUUCGGAUCGUAAAGCUCGGUUGUAAGAGAAGAACGGGUGUGAGAGUGGAAAGUUCACACUGUGACGGUAUCUGACCAGAAAGGGACGGCUAACUACGUG
Molecule: ribosomal RNA, 505 nt
Filed under: uncultured bacterium
Lineage: Bacteria
Description: partial 16S ribosomal RNA
Rfam family: Bacterial small subunit ribosomal RNA
Source: RNAcentral